UACGGAGGGUGCGAGCGUUGUCCGGAAUCAUUGGGCGUAAAGGGCGCGUAGGUGGCCCGGUCAGUUCGUGGUGAAAGCGCGGGGCUCAACUCCGCGUCGGCCAUGAAUACUGCUGGGCUUGAGCACUGUAGAGGCAGGCGGAAUUCCGGGUGUAGCGGUGGAAUGCGUAGAGAUCGGGAGGAACACCUGUGGCGAAGGCGGCCAGCUGGGCCGGACCUGACGCUGAGACGCGAAGGCGUGGGGAGCGAACGGG
RNAcentral lists this ribosomal RNA (253 nucleotides) under uncultured bacterium. RNAcentral describes it as "partial 16S ribosomal RNA". It matches the Rfam family "Bacterial small subunit ribosomal RNA", at positions 524 to 776 of the family's 1533-position model. The record is from RNAcentral.